RNAcentral lists this ribosomal RNA (505 nucleotides) under uncultured bacterium. RNAcentral describes it as "partial 16S ribosomal RNA". It matches the Rfam family "Bacterial small subunit ribosomal RNA", at positions 28 to 507 of the family's 1533-position model. The record is from RNAcentral.
GACGAACGCUGGCGGCGUGCCUAAUACAUGCAAGUAGAACGCACAGUUUAUACCGUAGCUUGCUCCACCAUAGACUGUGAGUUGCGAACGGGUGAGUAACGCGUAGGUAACCUGCCUGGUAGCGGGGGAUAACUAUUGGAAACGAUAGCUAAUACCGCAUAAUAUUAAUUAUUGCAUGAUAAUUAAUUGAAAGGUGCAAUUGCACCACUACCAGAUGGACCUGCGUUGUAUUAGCUAGUAGGUGAGGUAACGGCCCACCUAGGCGACGAUACAUAGCCGACCUGAGAGGGUGAUCGGCCACACUGGGACUGAGACACGGCCCAGACUCCUACGGGAGGCAGCAGUAGGGAAUCUUCGGCAAUGGACGAAAGUCUGACCGAGCAACGCCGCGUGAGUGAAGAAGGUUUUCGGAUCGUAAAGCUCUGUUGUAAGAGAAGAACGGGUGUGAGAGUGGAAAGUUCACACUGUGACGGUAUCUUACCAGAAAGGGACGGCUAACUACGUG